Molecule: long non-coding RNA, 4304 nt
Organism: Megalobrama amblycephala (Wuchang bream)
Lineage: Eukaryota; Metazoa; Chordata; Actinopteri; Cypriniformes; Xenocyprididae
Exons: 2
Source: RefSeq, a predicted model, not a curated record
UGGAAGGCCAAAAGGGCCAAAACGUGUGAAACCGACGUCUUAACACGUAAUUACGUGUUAACGCGCAAAUGACGUGUUAACGCGUAAUUACGUGUUAACGCGCAAAUGACGUGUUAACGCGUAAUUACGUGUUAACACGUCAUUUGCGAAAUAAAAAACGUGGGACUUUACCACCACCUGGUGGUGUGGUGUACUUGCACAAGCAGAUUAGGAUUGCAAAUGGCAGGAUUUUGUCUAAAAUAAAUCUUUAAAAAUGAACAGUGAGCAUAAAUAGGCUACAACUAUGGCUACACAUAAUAAUUAUAGCAUACAUUUUUUAUUUGUAUUUAUUUUAAUCCUAACACAUGUCUUCAAAUGAAUGAAUGUUGUUGCUCUCAAAACAAUUAACACAGCACAGUAAACACUCUUAUGUUGAUGAAAUUUCAUUAUUCACUGCACUGCAGUUUAUUCUAGUAAUACGUUUAUUAAAAACUAAAUUAUAUCAUCAUAACUACAGGUGUGUUCACUAUUGAUUUUAUAACAUAUUCAUCUAUAGACAUACACUAAUGAAAGUACAUGCUUAUUAUUGUUUUUUAAUGAGUGGUUUUGUUAUAAUCUUUUCCCACUUCCCCCAAAAAUUACAUAGCCUACACAAACAUCCAGCAAAUGUUGUACAGUACUGCAAUCACUAAUGUUUACUCACGAAUUUAAAUCUGCCUAGAGAAUUUCAUCUACAUCAUAGAACAUUCUUAUGCAUUAUGGAGGGAAAAAUCAUUAUGAAUGUUGAAUCCAUGGUUCUUCUCAACAUCUGCAGGCCUCCUUCAUUGUUGUUGUUUUUUUUUUACUCUUUUUUUGUAGUAAACUAUAUUCAUGUUUCUGGUAAAGGUUUGCUCUUGUUUACCUGAUUUUUAAUACUGCUUUCAUGUGCUGGUGUGUGUGUAUACAAGAAAAGAAUUGGUUCUUAUAGAUCUGUUAGUUUUGUGACAGUUUUACUGUUUGAAUUUGUAAUAAACACAUACAACGUGUGGUGUGUAGAUAAAUAAAAUGUAUUACAAAUGUAUUUACAAAUGUAAAACAAAAUUAUUUACAAUAAUAUAAACAAAUAGAAGACGGAAUAAGCAUGUAUGUAUAGGAAACAACUCAAGAAUGUAUUCCAACGAUAUUCUCCAUAGUCUGUUCCCCAUUGUUUUCCUGUGUGUAUCUCUAUAGUCAGCCAGUGUGCUUCAGCCAUCCGUCUGUCCAGCAAUUCACGAUUCCCUCAUCUGUAAGAAAUUACAUUUCAGUAAUUAUCUCCUUUCAUCGAAAGUACCAUUUAAUUGUCAACUCUGAUUUCUGUCAUUACGCCCAGUGCUGUCAAUAAAACAUAAUGUUCACCUAAUUCCAAAUUUAUCUAUUCGGUUUCCUGCAAAAGUGGCUCUUCCGUGUGUGUGCGUCACCCUUUCGUCAAUGUCGUUGACUUUUGAUGAUUGAUGAGGUAAGCUCAGUGUAGUGCUUGGGUCACUAUAUCAUGAAUAAUUUAAAUAAAUAAAGGUGUUGUGUCACGUUGACAUUGCCUGUCGUAACUGUUUGUAAUCCUUCUCAUGACUAAUUAAUAUGGUGAUACGCACGAUUCAGAUCGUUUUAUUAUUAAUGAGAUUGUGAACGAGCACUUACGUAAUGGUUACGAUGUGCUCAAGUCUGGCGCAACUUCCUUUUAACCAAAAACUUUUGGCGGCGAGGAAGAAAGUAGUAGUAGUAGUAUCAUCAGCAGCAGGACAUGGCGCGGAGAGAGUUUCUUACAGACUGCAAUAGGGCAUUUCGGGAGUGUACUCGAUUGGCUCAAACAGACGAUCGGGAUGCUAUAGCAAUAAUAAUUACAAGGUAAGUGAUCUUGUUUUGUGGCACUGGACGCCCAUUAUUUCCCCCAGGGGCGGACAAGGCUAUCGGCAGUACCGGGAGUUUUCCCUGUGGGCCGCUGGACAACGUGGGCCGGCCCUUUGCAAUGUAAAUGUAUGAAUGAAUUGUAGUAAAUAGUCCAUAGGCCCAUCUUUCCGUCAGCACAGACGAAUUGUUCGCGCGGGCGCGGCCCACAAAGACUCUAAUCAGUGUGCUCAGUCUGUCUAAAAGCGCUUAUCAAUGUCAAAAUGUUUGAGAUAACCAAUCAAAUCAAAGGAGGCGGGAUUUACUGUCCACGGAAACCGAGCAGCGCUGCACUAUUUAAUGCUUGUAGAAUGCGAGCCGAGAUAACAUAAGCAGCUGAACAAAACAAUAUAGCCUACAGCAAUGUUUGCCAACUGUUUACGAUAAAUAAUAAUAAUAAACUGUUAAACGACGGGGAUUCAUUUCGAGGACGCACUUCUGACCUUUUCGGAUUGUUAUUCUUCACACAUUGGAUAAAGAAACAUUAACGUAACCUAUAGUGUUCAGCAUGUCAGAUAAAAGUGAAUGUGUGUCUGUUGUCAGGAUUUCUUCAGUAAUUUCACAAUCAUAAAACUCGAAAUAUUCUCAAACUUAAACUGCAUGGCAAAACCAGCAGCUUUCAUAUAACCUAUGUCCCGUAAAGUGUAAAACAUAUAAUUUUCUAAUAGUUCACACGCAUUAUUUUACAGACUGGCGAUCAAAAGUUUGAAAUAAGACUUCUUUAAUGUUUUUGAGGCGGAGAAGUAGGAGGAGGAAGAUAAGUAUUCUCUUGAGAAGGAAUGCAAUGAAGCAUUUUGCCUUUAACAAAUACCCAAACGCCCCUUUCUCCUAGCAUUUUUGUGCGCACAAUGUCCAUCUGUCGUGCUCGCUUGCUCUCAAUAGGCUACUGAGAAUCAUAAGUUAGGAAAGUCUGUCCUUCUCGGGCAGGUUUUUAUUAGUUUCGGUUUAGGAAAAAGGGCUCCACUUAAUAUUAAGUGGCCUUAAUACUAUGUACUUACAUCAAAAAGUAAGUACAAUGUACUUAUUGGGUUCAUAUUGAAUUGAAAAUCACUUUUGCUGCUAUUGAGGUGGGAUGUGGGUAAGGUUAGGUACAGGUUUGGUGGUAUGGGUUUAAGGGUAGGGGUAAGGUGUAAGGGAUGGGUCAACAGUGUUGGUUGGGUUGGUUAAAAAAAGCUUUAGAUCACUCCACAAGCACGCAGCUUAUAGUUGCAUGAGUUCCACUUGGACGUAAAAAGCAAAAUUGUCUUGCUAUUGGAUCCAAACCUUUGAAACGUUGUUUGAGCUGGACCUACUCUGAACCUGUUUAGUCAUAGGAGAGUCACGUCAUAAAAAAGCUUUAGUUAUUUAUUUGUUAGUUAUUUGCGGCUUCCCAUUUCAUUUAGCGAUAUAAAGUUUGGAGUUUUGUUUUUGAAUUUCAUCUCUAUUUAUUUGCUGCUAGCCAACGCAUUUAUCAGAUCCAAAAGCAUUGUUGAGAGGAGUUAUGGAAAAGCACAGACGAAUGAUAUCAUCAAUCGUUGUCGUUAUCAUGAUAGAAACUCGAGAUCAUGUUUGCAAAAAGCUGAUCAAGAACAUAAGGAGGUUGAGUAAAUAAUAAGAUAAUUCUCAUUGUGUAAUGAUAAUAAUAACAAUUUUUAUUUUGUAGUCAGAAAAACUUUUCAAACCGGCUAACUGAUAAACUAUUAUUUUCAAACAAAUGAAUAAGUCUUCAAUUUGUUACAUAGGAGUUCAAAGCGGUUUGUAUCGUUAAUACUUCUCCUUUCACAUUUAGCAGGGAGUGGAGCAGCGUUUUCACAAGCAAAAUUCUGCUGCUGACCCAGAGGAUGGAGUGGAAGUACCAGAUAUCCAUCAGAGAAGAAUUUAUUUCGUUCAGACAUAUCACCUUUGAAUGACUGGGAUCUUGAUCUUCAGACACCUAAUAUUAUGCAAAUAUUUUACUUUCUUUAGCGCUCUAGAUUAAAACAAACACAGCUCAGAAAUAAAUAAGAUGUUGUACUUUACUCCUAUUACUCGAUGCUGAUCUUGGAUAAACAAGAAUUAAGAUAACCCAUCUCUGAGUCCAUGUAAUGCAAAUGAAUAUGUAUUUUAAAAAGGUUACACUUUAAAAACCACACACAGUGACUGUGACAGUUAUCUAUACAACCCCAGUGAAGUAAAACAAUAGGUAACUAUUUACCAUCGCUUCUGACUAACUGCAUGCUACAAUCUACUUGAAUAUGGACUCACAGAGAUUGAUUAUUUUCUUAAAAAGCAGUGUUUAUAUGAAGAAAGUAAUAUAGUACAUCUUGGAUGGCAUGAAAGACUAUUAACAAAGACAUAUAUUGCACUCCCCUACCACAUAUUGUACCCACUGUCACUGUUUUAUUUUUACUGUGACAGUAACUGUUUAAAUGAUCUCUGCAUCAUUAAAAUAAAACAUUUUACACAUA